Molecule: ribosomal RNA, 248 nt
Filed under: uncultured bacterium
Lineage: Bacteria
Description: partial 16S ribosomal RNA
Rfam family: Bacterial small subunit ribosomal RNA
Source: RNAcentral
AAGAUGGCGACCGGCGCACGGGUGAGUAACACGUAUCCAACCUGCCGAUAACUCGGGGAUAGCCUUUCGAAAGAAAGAUUAAUAUCCGAUGGUAUAUUAAGAUCGCAUGAUUUUACUAUUAAAGAAUUUCGGUUAUCGAUGGGGAUGCGUUCCAUUAGUUUGUUGGCGGGGUAACGGCCCACCAAGACUACGAUGGAUAGGGGUUCUGAGAGGAAGGUCCCCCACAUUGGAACUGAGACACGGUCCAA